GUUGUAUAGUUAAAAGACAUCAUAUAAAAAGAGAACGUAGUUUAAAUUAAUUGAGAUUGACUAAAGGAAAGGUGUACAAAGACACGUCAAAAACACCUUCUCUCAACUACAGAGGCUCUAGCCCCUAGUGUAUAAAUAAUUGCUGGUAAUCCUCUUGUUAAAGAGACAAAUUUGUUAAAAAUGUAAAAUUUUCAUGUUACCUCUGGGGUUGGUGGUGAAAUAAGUGAUGAGUGGAACAAAUGAAUUCCUAUUGUCGAAGUGGCAACAUGCCAGAAAAGGGUUUACUUUACGUGAAUACUAAAAACAUAAAGGUCAGAUGACAAAGAUGUUAUGGGGUCAGUUAAAAUGCAUAUUUGCAUUGUUUAUAUGUUAUGUAAUACAUGUACGUAACUUCCAGCAAGUUUUCAACCAUAGUUUAGCUAAAAAUGAGGUUUUUAUGACACAUAUUGAGUCCUCCCCGAACAUACCCGAAGCUCGAGACACCGGGGUGUGGUUACUCUAUCCACCGCAAGGGCUACCAGAAGUGACGUUGCAAUUGACAAACACAGCGCACUACACACUAUACGUAAUGGCGAGCAACGUGUUGGAAUAUGUGGAGGAGGAGGAUUUCGAAGUACAGGAACACCCAACUGAACUUGGCAUCGUCAACGCGUACAUGUUUGAGCCGAUCAGACAGUGACGACGACGAGCAGCCAAGUAGCAGCUGUGCAACAGAAAAAGAGAGUGGCGACAUCUACAUGUUCAGUCCUCAUCAAAACACAGAACUAUUGAUGCAGUAACAAAUUAAUAGAGGGGAAAGACACAAGGCAAAGACCACGGGCAUACAAAAGCCUUGAUGCUUAGUCGAACAUUAAGGAAGCAAAUUAAGUUUGCAUUGAUCAAUAGCGGCUACCUGAGGGAAGGAACCGGAAGAGGUCGUGACCAGGAUGACGAGGGUCCAAGAAGAUUUUGCAUGCCCUUGUCUUAGUUCUAACAGCAUGCAAGUCCUCAAGGGUAGGUAGGGGGUACCAACAAUUUUUCUGAAAGUUCUGAUUGUCCGUUGCAGUCAGCGUUUGUCUUUUUUUGUGGGAGCACCAAACCAGACUGUGAUGGAUGAACACAUGACUGAUUCGAUGACUGCUGUGUAGAACAGCCUCAACAGCUCCUGUGGUAGGCCGUGCUUCCUCAGAAGCCAUAGUCCUGAGAGACUGUAAUUCCCAGGAACUUGAAAGUCUUGACGGUUGACACAGGGCAGUUGGACACCGUCAGGCGUAGCUGUGGCGAAGAAUGCUUCCUGAAAUCCACGAUCAUCUCUACAGACUUGAGUGUGUUCAGCUCCAGGAGACAAAGGGACCCUCACCCUCAGACAUUACACUGCAACUGGCAGCUGUGGCCCAAUGGUUAAGCUCAUCACCUGCCACCGUGGGGGACCUAGGUUCAAGACCCUGACUGGAACAUCCGUCAAUAUCCCCCGGACUCACGGCUGUGGUGUCCUUGAGCAAGAUACCCCAAAAUGCUCCCCAGGUGCUUCAGCUGCCCCCUGCUCCAGUGUGUUGCACUAACAUCUGUAUGUGUUCACUGUGAUGGGUUAAAUGCAGAGGACAAAUUUCAUGUGCAUGCAUGCAUGCAUGUUCAUGACAAUAAAAGGUGAUUCUUCUUCUUCUUAACAGACAGCACAACUAUACUUUCAAGUACAGUGCCAGACUCAUGUUAGAAAAGCACAAUUAUGUGACUUUUUUUUGUGUGGUCACCUUCAGAACAAUACAGUGAGCGAAUAACCCCAGAUCCAAGUUUCUAAAGACACGUUAUGAAGGCAACAAAGUUUUUCAAGUCUGCAGAGUUGCCAGAACUGCUAGGUACACAUGGUACACAUGAAAUGCAGUGCUGAAUCUUGGUGCCACAUCUGAUCUGUAGGACUGUUUCCUCCAAAGGAAAAAAGAACAAAGGGAACAACUGUGUAAAAACUGUUGACCUAUUCAAUAUUAUGGGAAGAAUUUCAGCAGACCACAUUGUUCAGAAUAUUUAUUUGGCAAGGUUGCUUUACAAACAGCUCAGUUAUACAAAAUAUACUACAAAAUAAAUGUUUAAAAAGUGUAUUGUUUUUCCAUUGUCUACGAUGGAUGAAAAACAAGGUUUCCCUGACUGCUCAUGUCUAUUUCAUUAAUAGUCAAGCUAGAUAGCUUGGGCUAUUUGAAUAACCUUUUACAUGAACUAAUAUUCAUUUCAAUCUGAACUAUGGUUUUGCACAUAUUACUCAGAGCACAGCAAGUCAAAACAAUAUUGUCAAUAAAGCUGUCCUCCACUUUGCUAUUUUGUUCCACUCUGAGGCUUACAGGCAGGGUUGAGCCCAGAAUAAUAUAUUGAAUAAACCUGGCAUAUAGUCAGGUCGUAGGGGAUCAUUGCUCUUCCUUCCUUAAACACAACUAUCCAUCCAUCCAUCCAUUUUCUGAGCCGCUUCUCCUCACUAUGUUCGCCCAGCUAUCAUCAGGCAGGAGGCGGGGUACACCCUGAACUGGUUGCCAGCCAAUCGCAGGGCACAUAUAAACAAACAACCAUUUGCACUCACAUUCACACCUACGGGCAAUUUAGAGUUGUCAAUUAACCUACCAUGCAUGUUUUGGGGAUGUGGGAGGAAACCGGAGUGGCCGGAGAAAACCCACGCAGGCACGGGGAGAACAUAGAGGUGACAUAUGGUAUAUUGUUUAUAACAGAAUACUUUGGGUAAAGGUUAUUAAGGACAUUGGCUUUGAAACCAUUAACAUUUUUUAUACAGUCAAAAAGUAAUGCCGCUUCAGUAGGCUCAGUAAAUUAAGUAAGUGGCUCAAAGAAUUGUGUACUGCACUAUUCAUGAGUUUCAUUGAAAAGCGUGAGUUUUUGGGAGUGCAAACAUCUUUACGAGGGAGACGGUUUCUGUCUAAAUAGACAAGGGGUUAAGUUAUUGGCUGCCGACAUUUUUUACUGUGUACGUCAUUCAGCGGCCCGAAAGGAAAACAUUGGCCUUGUUGACAUGGCUGAAGGACAAAAAGAUGCAGUUGUUCCCAAACAAUCAGAGGAACAAGAGAUAAGGCAACAUGAAGUGCAGAUGGAUUCAUCCGCGUCACUCAACCAAUCGGAGGAACGAAUGAGAAAUGAGAUGAACCAGCACUUUGAAUCUCCUACACCCUUUCUUGCCCCUUUGGCGCAAAGCCCAAUCCAAAACUAUGGCAAUCAGGAAUUUUCCAUCCCUGUAAUUAGAAGGAACAGAAAGUUGGUCAAAGAAUUAUGGCACAAACAAAGUAGAACUACAAACUUGGUGAGGAUAAAAUGUGAGUCUAUCAGACUAUUGUCUCCGGUUAUCUCUAGCUUCAAUAUCAGGUCACUGGGUAACAAAACAAUAUUGAUUAAUGACACAAUUACAAUCUAUGAUCUGGACUUUUUGCUACUAAAUGAAACAUGGUUAACGGAAAGUAGCUGUAAUACCAUUUUAAAUGAGACAACACCAGCAAAUUAAACUUUUGUGUCGAAUAGGGAGAAACGGCGUUGGUAUUGCUGUUAUUUUUAAGUCAUUAUUUCAGUGUAAAGAAAUUAUACUGGGUGAUUUUAGCUCUUUUGAAUAUCUAUGUUUUUUAGUUAAAGGUGACCCGAAGGUGAUUGUUUUAAUAAUUUAUAGACCUCCAAGAUACAAAAGAAAAUGUAUGGAGGUUUUUUUUCAGAACUGCUGUCAGUUAUUUGUACUGACUACAACUAUUUUGCAAUAACGGAAGACUUCAACAUUCAUAUUGGCAAUAACAUGGGAAAAGAAAAAAAUCUAAAGAACUCUCUGCUAUACUAGACACAUUUGGCCUCUCUCAACAUAAGAGUCCAACCCACAUUCAAGGUCACAUCUUAGACCUGGUCAUCUCUAAAGAUGUUGACAUUAAGGAUAUGGGUAUUUCUGACCGUUUUUAUGUAUUUUUUUAAUUACAGAUUCUUCCAAAAGUCCAGACAACCUCUAUGCCUAUUAAGAAAAGGUACAUAGAUGAGAGUACCGCCACUAAAUUUAUGGAGACCAAAGCUGUGCCACAAACUGUGAGUCCUGAGACAGUUGAUGAACUUUUGGAUAACUUCACCUGGAAAUCUCAAAUGUCAUAAAUGCUGUUGCUCAGAUUAAAACUAAGACAAUCUUGAGGCGACCUAGAACACCGUGGAGGAGCACUAUGAUGGUAAAUACCGCUAAAUCAAAGUGUAGGAAAGCAGAAAGUAAGUGGAGAAAAAACAAAACUCCAAAUUGACUAUGACCGCUACAGACAAAGUCUUUGUAAUUUUAACCAAGAGUUAGUCAGGGCUAGACAGCAACACUUUUCUGAAAUCAUCAAUAAGAACUUCAACAAUACUCGCACCCUGUUUGCUGUGGUUAACAAGCUCACAAUCCCCCCGAAUCUGAUGGCUCCAGAACUCCUAACAGUGCAUAAAUGCAAUUAAUUUGCCUGUUAUUUUAGUGAAAAAAAUACAAUCCAUCAGAUUAAUUAUCAGCACAAAUCAGCAAAAUGAUAAAAUGAUACUACAUCUGAAGCGACGCAGGAAAAAAUAUUACCAUGUCAGAAUUUGAUACAGUUGACCAAAACAUCGUAGAUAAAACGGUUCAGCAGCUGAAACCAUCAACGAGCUGUCUUGACUCAAUACCAUCUGACUUUUUCAAAGCUAUUGUGAAGUCUGUGCUAGCUGAUUUGCAGCAAAUAAUCAAUUGCUCACUUCAGUCAGGCGAGUUUUCCAAAGCUCCAUUAAGCCUCUUCUAAAAAAUAGAACACUGGACACUUCAAAUCUCCCUUUCAUAGCAAAGAUUGUUGAGUUAUUUGUAAUCAACUCAGCAAUUUCUUGAACUUAAAUGGACUUUUUGACACAUUUUAAUCAGGUUUUUGAACUCAUCAGAGUAGGAAAUCUGCUCUUAUCAAAGUCCUAAAUUAUAUAAUGUUGAAUACUGACUCGGGAAAGGUGUCAAUUCUGGUCUUGUUGGAUCUCAGUGCGGCUUUUGAUACAGCAGAUCAUAAUAUACUAUACUGCUGAAUAGAAGAAGAAGACCAGCAGAAGCUCAUCCAUGCUUUUAUGUUAAGUAGACUUGAUUAUUGUAAUGGUCUUGUGACUGGACUCCCCAAAAAGAGGAUAAACAGCUGCAACUCAUUCAGAAUACUGCACCUCAGGUUCUGACCAGAACAAAGAAGUCAGAGCAUAUUACUCCAAUUCUAAAGUCUUUACACUGGCUCCUAGUCACCUGUAGAAUAAAUGUUAAAGUUCUGCUACUGGUCUAUCCAUCACUAAAUGGUUUAGGUCCUGAAUACAUGAAAGAAAUGCUUAUGGAAUAUAAACCCAGUAGGGCUCUGAGAUCGACAGACUCAGGUCAAAUAGUGGAGCACAGAGUCCAAAGCAAACAUGGUGAAGCAGCAUUUAGCUAUUAUGCUGCACACAAAUCGAAUAAGUUGCCAACAGAAUUGACACCAGCCCCAAGUGUAAAUGUUUUUAAGUCCAGGUUAAAAACUCUUCUUUUUUCUCAUGCUUUUUAAAGCAUUUUCACUUUUAAAUGAUAUUUCUUCCACUGUACGCUGUUUUAAUUGUACUUUUUUCUCUCUCUUUGUUUUAGAGGUUUAUAAGCAGUUUUUUUCUCUUUGUUUUUAAAUACUUUAAUCAUGUAAAGCACAUUGAGUUACCUUGUGUAUGAAAUGUGCUAUAUAAAUAAAUUUGCUUUGCUUUGGCUGUGUUCCCGGUCAAAAGUGACCAUGAAUAUUUUAAUUGUGUAGAAAAUAAAUGGGCGGCAUGGUGGGCGACUGGUUAGCACAUCUGUCUCACAGUUCUGAGGACCUGGGUUCAAAUCCCGCCCCCGCCUGUGGGGAGUUUGCAUGUUCUCCCCGGGCCUGCAUGGGUUUUCUCCGGGUACUCCGGUUUUCUCCCACAUCCUCAAAACAUGCAUUGUAGGUUGAUUGAAGACUCAAAAUUACCCGUAGGUGUGAAUGGGAGUGUGAAUGGUUGUUUGUUUAUAUGUGCCCUGCAACUGGCUGGCAACCAGUUAGGGGUGUAACCCGCUUUCUUGCCCGAAGAUAGCUGGGAUAGGCCUGCGAUACUAGUGAGGAUAAGCGGUACAGAAAAUGGAUGGAUGGAUAGAAAAUAAAUCAUCCACCACUUGAUAUUUUCACAAUAUUCCAAGAAUAUUGUCCUCAAACAUUAACAAACAACUCACAAUAACAUGAAAAUAACAACAAUAACAUGUUAACCCAUCAAUCAAAUGUUUUCCUCAUGCUUGUUUCUUCUCAUGGGUUAAGGUGAGGUAAUUUUUGGGGGGAGCAGUUCUACACCAAGAGUGCAUACUGUUGGAUUGUUCUAUUUUGUACUCAUGAAGCUAUGUUCCAUUAUCUAACAAUUAAGUUCCGUUUCCAAAACACUAGGGUAAUACAUGAUUAAGUUUUGUUAUCCAUGAGAAUAUGUAGGAGUUUAGAUUACUGAGGAAUGAUGGUUUUAGGAUGACUCCCCCUUUUCUGAUAACACCCAAGGCCAGAGGUACCUUCUGCCAAACAGAUAUAUCAAACCUUCUGCCAGAUAUAUCAAAACCUUCUGCUGAACAGUCAUAACGAAACCUUCUGAUGUGUAUAAAAGGAGUUAGCUCAAAUAAACGAGGGGUGUCAUUCAGUGAACCUGCACUCUGGUUGAUUGAAUGCACCCUGAAACUCA
Molecule: long non-coding RNA, 6654 nt
Organism: Phyllopteryx taeniolatus (common seadragon)
Lineage: Eukaryota; Metazoa; Chordata; Actinopteri; Syngnathiformes; Syngnathidae
Exons: 6
Source: RefSeq, a predicted model, not a curated record